AGGGAAUAUUGGGCAAUGGAUGCAAGUCUGACCCAGCCAUGCCGCGUGGAGGAAGAAGGUCCUCUGGAUUGUAAACUCCUUUUGUCGGGGAAGAAGAGUCAUCUUGCGAGGUGAUGUGACGGUACCCGAUGAAUAAGCCACGGCUAACUACGUGCCAGCAGCCGCGGUAAUACGUAGGUGGCAAGCGUUGUCCGGAUUUAUUGGGUUUAAAGGGUGCGUAGGUGGUUUAUUAAGUCAGUGGUGAAAGCUGGUUGCUCAACAAUCAAGUUGCCAUUGAUACUGAUAGACUUGAGAGAAGUGGAGGUUCAUGGAAUGGAUGGUGUAGCGGUGAAAUGCAUAGAUAUCAUCCAGAACGUCGAUUGCGAAGGCAGUGGGCUGUACUUUUUCUGACACUGAGGCACGAAAGCGUGGGGAUCAAAC
RNAcentral lists this ribosomal RNA (420 nucleotides) under uncultured bacterium. Its description in RNAcentral is "bacterial SSU rRNA". It matches the Rfam family "Bacterial small subunit ribosomal RNA", at positions 356 to 773 of the family's 1533-position model. The record is from RNAcentral.